This 275-nucleotide ribosomal RNA is filed under the name uncultured bacterium. RNAcentral describes it as "partial 16S ribosomal RNA". It matches the Rfam family "Bacterial small subunit ribosomal RNA", at positions 399 to 691 of the family's 1533-position model. The record is from RNAcentral.
GCGUGGGUGAUGAAGGCCCUAGGGUUGUAAAGCCCUUUCAGCGGGGAAGAUAAUGACGGUACCCGCAGAAGAAGCCCCGGCUAACUUCGUGCCAGCAGCCGCGGUAAUACGAAGGGGGCUAGCGUUGCUCGGAAUUACUGGGCGUAAAGCGCACGUAGGCGGCUUUCUAAGUCGGGGGUGAAAUCCUGGAGCUCAACUCCAGAACUGCCUUCGAUACUGGAAAGCUCGAGUCCGGGAGAGGUGAGUGGAACUGCGAGUGUAGAGGUGAAAUUCGU